CCCUAGUCCCGAUGGGAGGGAAAAUCCUUUUGUGGUGGGGUUCACCACAAAAGAUUGGAAGGAACAGCGGGAUCAGCU
RNAcentral lists this small RNA (78 nucleotides) under Flavobacterium saccharophilum. Its description in RNAcentral is "Flavo-1 RNA". It matches the Rfam family "Flavo-1 RNA". Lineage: Bacteria; Pseudomonadati; Bacteroidota; Flavobacteriia; Flavobacteriales; Flavobacteriaceae. The record is from RNAcentral.